CUCUCAUUCAGUGUCUGGGCUGGGGUGUGUGUGUGUGGGGGGUAUAUAGCUCGUGUGAGUGGUGUGUGUGGGUGUCUCUGGCACAUGUGUGUUCGUGUGUUUGCCAUGUUCCGUGCUGGUUGGCAUGAGUCUAGAAAACCUGUCACUCUGGGGUGGAUGAUCAUCCCUGUGGGGAGGUGGGAGUCACUCUGGGUGGACAGAUCACCCCGGGGGGAGGUGCGGGUCACUCUGGGUGGACAGAUCACCCCAGGGGGAGGUGCGGGUCACUCUGUGGUGGACAGAUCAUCCCUGGGGGGAGGUGGGAGUCACUCUGGGUGGACAGAUCACCCCAGGGGGAAGUGUGGGUCACUCUGGGUGGACAGAUCACCCCAGGGGGAAGUGCGGGUCACUCUGGGUGGACAGAUCACCCCAGGGGGAAGUGCGGGUCACUCUGGGUGGACAGAUCACCCCAGGGGGGGAGGUACAGGUCACUCUGGGUGGACAGAUCACCCCAGGGGGAAGUGCGGGUCACUCUGGGUGGACAGAUCACCCCAGGGGGAAGUGCGGGUCACUCUGGGUGGACAGAUCACCCCGGGGGGAGGUGCGGGUUUGCCUGCAAAUUCCUGUCGGAAGAGCUCCAGACAGCAGCACUCGCCACUGGGAAGGAGACCUCUGGAUCCGCCCUCUGCCAUCACGCCCAGCAGCCGCCCGUUUGCAGAGCUGUGGCUGGGGAGGUGCCACUGCCUUCCCCGCCUGCGCCUUUGCAAGGAGAGGGUGGCGGUUUAUUUCCGGGGCUGGCAGCGCGUAGGGGAGGUGGGCGGUGUGCCCGAAGCUGAGCCCCUGGCAUGCUUUGUGCAGUCAUAGCAUCCACAGCUGCAGUUCCAACCUGAGUCCUCUGGAGGGCGCACGUGAGCUCCCUGCCACAGGGGCUGGACCCAGGUGCACUUGGCCCGCCAGUCUCACUGCAGACCGGGGCCUGUGACGAUGCCGGCGGCGUCACCGGGGGCUUCUCGCCACACAGGGCGCUGUGCUCGGGACGGACACGGAGUGCCAUUCCUGGAGUACAGGUGGACUGACCGUGUGGUCAGGGCAGCCUGUAACUUGGGGUCACACACAAAGCCCUUGGAAUCAAAG
Molecule: long non-coding RNA, 1113 nt
Filed under: Oryctolagus cuniculus (rabbit)
Lineage: Eukaryota; Metazoa; Chordata; Mammalia; Lagomorpha; Leporidae
Description: lncRNA (ENSOCUG00000037499.1)
Source: RNAcentral